GAAUUCACUAGUGAUUCAGGCCUAACACAUGCAAGUCGAGCGGUUGAGAGUAGCUUGCUACUUGAUGCAGCGAAGAACGGGUGAGUAACGCGUGGGAAUCUGCCCAGUAGUGGGGGACAACAGCCGGAAACGGCUGCUAAUACCGCAUACGCCCUACGGGGGAAAGGGGGGGAUCUUCGGACCUCUCGCUAUUGGAUGAGCCCGCGUCGGAUUAGCUAGUUGGUAGGGUAAAGGCCUACCAAGGCUACGAUCCGUAACUGGUCUGAGAGGAUGAUCAGUCACACUGGAUCUGAGGGACGGUCCAGACUCCUACGGGAGGCAGCAGUGGGGAAUAUUGGACAAUGGGGGAAACCCUGAUCCAUCCAAGAGGCGUGUGUGAAGAAGGCCUUAGGGUUGU
RNAcentral lists this ribosomal RNA (397 nucleotides) under uncultured bacterium. RNAcentral describes it as "bacterial SSU rRNA". It matches the Rfam family "Bacterial small subunit ribosomal RNA", at positions 39 to 426 of the family's 1533-position model. The record is from RNAcentral.